Molecule: ribosomal RNA, 373 nt
Filed under: uncultured bacterium
Lineage: Bacteria
Description: bacterial SSU rRNA
Rfam family: Bacterial small subunit ribosomal RNA
Source: RNAcentral
UAAUACGGAGGGUGCAAGCGUUAUCCGGAUUCACUGGGUUUAAAGGGUGCGUAGGUGGGUUGGUAAGUCCGUGGUGAAAUCCCCAAGCUUAACUUGGGAACUGCCGUGGAUACUAUCAAUCUUGAAUAUCGUUGAGGUAAGCGGAAUAUGUCAUGUAGCGGUGAAAUGCUUAGAUAUGACAUAGAACACCGAUAGCGGAGGCAGCUUACUAAGCGAUCAUUGACACUGAGGCACGAAAGCGUGGGGAGCAAACAGGAUUAGAUACCCUGGUAGUCCACGCCCUAAACGAUGAUUACUCGACAUACGCGAUACACAGUGUGUGUCUGAGCGAAAGCAUUAAGUAAUCCACCUGGGAAGUACGAUCGCAAGAUUG